RNAcentral lists this ribosomal RNA (471 nucleotides) under uncultured bacterium. RNAcentral describes it as "partial 16S ribosomal RNA". It matches the Rfam family "Bacterial small subunit ribosomal RNA", at positions 28 to 507 of the family's 1533-position model. The record is from RNAcentral.
GACGAACGCUGGCGGCGUGCUUAACACAUGCAAGUCGAACGGAAAGGCCCUGCUUGCAGGGUGCUCGAGUGGCGAACGGGUGAGUAACACGUGGGUGAUCUGCCCCUUACUUUGGGAUAAGCCUGGGAAACUGGGUCUAAUACUGGAUAGGACCAUGCUGUAGGUGGUGUGGUGGAAAGAUUUUUUCGGUAAGGGAUGAGCUCGCGGCCUAUCAGCUUGUUGGUGGGGUAAUGGCCUACCAAGGCGUCGACGGGUAGCCGGCCUGAGAGGGUGGACGGCCACAUUGGGACUGAGAUACGGCCCAGACUCCUACGGGAGGCAGCAGUGGGGAAUAUUGCACAAUGGGCGCAAGCCGGAUGCAGCGACGCCGCGUGGGGGAUGACGGCCUUCGGGUUGUAAACUCCUUUCAGCCAUGACGAAGCCUCUUUUGGGGUGACGGUAGUGGUAGAAGAAGCACCGGCUAACUACGUG